Molecule: ribosomal RNA, 1054 nt
Filed under: Psylliodes circumdatus
Lineage: Eukaryota; Metazoa; Arthropoda; Insecta; Coleoptera; Chrysomelidae
Description: 16S ribosomal RNA
Rfam family: Archaeal large subunit ribosomal RNA (bases 383-1054)
Source: RNAcentral
CUCGAAUUUAAAAGAGCUAAAAGUUUAAAAUUUUUAUUGUAAAAUAACUAUAUUAAAUAAACUUUUAGUAAUGAAACGUUAUUCGUUUUUAAAUAUAUCUAGUUUUUUAAGAAAUAAAUUUAAUUUAAUUAUUAUUAAUAUUUUAAAUUAAAUAUUUAGUUUAAUAUUAAUAAUAUUUAAUAUUUUUAGGGAUGAGCUUAAAAAUAAAGCUUUAUUAAAAAAUUUAAUAAAUUAAAAUAAUUUAGGAUUAUAAAUUUUCAUAAUUUUAAGUAUGUUACAAUUUAUUUUUAUAUUAUUAUAAUUUUUAUUUUUUAUAAAUUUUUUAUUAAAAUAUAUUUAAAAAUAAUUAUUAAUUAGUAAUUAUGAUAAAAUUAGUAUAAUUUUUUAUAAAAAUAGAAUAAAUAUUUAGGUUUAUUAAAGGAACUCGGCAAAUUAUUUUUCACCUGUUUAUUAAAAACAUGUCCUUUUGUUAAAAAUUUAAGGUCUAGCCUGCCCACUGAUUUAUUUAAAUGGCCGCGGUAUUUUGACCGUGCUAAGGUAGCAUAAUCAUUAGUUUUUUAAUUGAAAGCUGGAAUGAAAGGUUGAAUGAAAAAAUAACUGUCUCUAUAAAAAUUUAUUAGAAUUUUAUUUUUAAGUUAAAAAGCUUAAAUAAGUUUAAAAGACGAGAAGACCCUAUAGAGUUUAAUAUAAUAUUUUUUUUAAUUAUUAAGAAUUAAAAUUUUAAUGAUUUUAUUAUAUUUAAUUGGGGUGAUUAAAAAAUUUAAUUAACUUUUUUUUUAUUUUAAUAUAAAUUAAUAAGUAUUUGAUCCAAAAUUUUUGAUUAUAAGAAUAAAUUACCUUAGGGAUAACAGCGUAAUUAUAUUGGAGAGUUCAAAUCGAUAAUAUAGAUUGCGACCUCGAUGUUGGAUUAAAAUUAAUUUUUGGUGUAGCAGCUAGAAGUUUAAGUCUGUUCGACUUUUAAAAUUUUACAUGAUCUGAGUUUAAACCGGUGUAAGCCAGGUUGGUUUCUAUCUUUAAAAUAUUAAUUUAUUUUAGUACGAAAGGACCAAAUAAA